Molecule: long non-coding RNA, 3843 nt
Organism: Leopardus geoffroyi (Geoffroy's cat)
Lineage: Eukaryota; Metazoa; Chordata; Mammalia; Carnivora; Felidae
Exons: 3
Source: RefSeq, a predicted model, not a curated record
ACAGACAAGGAAGGCAGGUAUCUUCUAAAAGCUGGAGAAGGCAAGGAAAUGGAUUCUCUGGAGCCCUCAGAAGGGAAUAUAGCUCAGCAGACCCCAUGUUUUUAGCCUGGUGGAAUUUUUGACCUACGGAACCGUAAGAUAAUAAAUUUGUGUUAUCUUAAGCCAAUAAAUUUGUGGUAACUUGUUAUAGCAGCAACAGAAAACUAAUGUGUGCUUGAGGUGGUGUAUUAGAUUGCCAGGGAUGCCAUAGCAAAAUGACACAGACUGGAUGGCUUAAAACAACAGAAAUUUAUUUUCUCAUAGCUUGGAGGCUAGGAGUCCAAGAUCAGGUGCCCACAAAGUUAGUUUCUCCAGAUGCCUCUCUCCUUCUCAUGCAGAUGGCCAUCUUCUUGUUACCUCUUCACGUGUUCCUUUCUCUGUGUGCCCAUCUUUUUGUCUCUUCCUUUUAUAAGGAUACCAGCCAGAUUGGAUUAGAGUCCCACCUUAAUGGCCUCCUUUUAACUUAAUCACUCCAUUAAAGGCCUUAUUUCCAAGUAAAUUCCAAUUCUGAGGGAUUGGGAACUAGGCUUCGGCAGUAUGAAUUUGCAAGAGACACAAUUCCACCCAUAAUGUGUGGACAAUCUCAUUCACUUUCCAAAGUCACCCAGUGAAUUAGAACCAUGAUUAUCAUAAUUUCAUAGGUAAGGAAACAGGCACAGAAAGGUUAAGUUACUCACCCAAAUUUACACAGCAAGUAAGUGGCAAGACCAGUCUGGGAAUUGACUGUUUAUAUACUUCACCCAUUUUUCUAUGAGGUGAUUUGUCUUUUUGGUUUGCACCUUUUUGGUGCACAGGUGUUCAGUAAGCAUUGAUUGAUUGAAGGAAUGAAUGGGAGCAGUUCCCAGGACUCCUAGAAGAACAUGGGCCAGGCUGGGCCAAGCUUGGGUUUCCCUUCCUACCUCUCCAGGUUAGCAAUACUUACCCCCAGGAGAAAACCAAAAGACAAGCAGGAGGUGGGUGUCCACAGAGGAUGGUGGGAGUGGGAAGGUACCACCCUCUAUUCAUCAACUGAACAAAAUCCCGGGAGACUUUCUGGAGGAGGGCGAUGGUCUGGUGUCUCCUAACCCUCGGGGAAUCAUGGCAGACAAUUUUGUAGCUUGGGGUAUCCCAUGGACAGUCCUGGGGUGCUAGUGCCGAAUCUCUCUACCUCCAAUUCCACAUUCCAGGUUGCAGGUACUCAGGUGUCUCAAGAGAGCUCUUCCUCAAUAUGAAAAAUCUAGGCCAGCUGCAAAGAAGAGACGGUAGAUGUCUCUGCCAGCUGUCUCCUGGACAUUGGCAGGUGGCCAACACUCACAACCCAGGCAGGGCUUGCCUUGACCUGGCCUGACAAUUCAUUCUGGUCACUGUGGCAAAGGGGAUAGCUACCCAGGAGGCUUAGGCAGGUCUGUGGCUAGCUGCCCAAAUCAAUGGGAAUGCCCCAGUUACCUCUCAGGGAGGGCAAAUAAUGAUGGCCUCAACACAAUCAGCCCUCAGAUCAGAGCUCCAGAAGAACUUCCCAUGUCAGACCUUGCAAUGGUUCAGGGGCUACUAUACUCACCCACAGCCCUGCUUCUUGACCCCUUCUCUCUACUCCAUUCUAGUCUGACAUGGAUUAGGUAGUAGAGACACUCAGCAAAAACUCUGUCUUGAUCCAAUAUGGUGCUCAGAGUGGGGAAUCUGGGGUCCGAAUAGAAGCUGGAUAAUUCCCAUGUCUGCAUAGGCUCUUGGUGUGAAGAAGUGUCAAUAUCAUGGAGUCCAUUCUUCCUACUUGGUAUUCUAAGGGUUGAGUUUCCUAUAUAACAUUUCCAGAGCAGAGUGGUUACUCAGUCUUUGCCUGAACUCCUCCAGUGAUAGGGACCUUACCACCUUACAAAGCAGCUAGUUGUAUCCCCCGGCAGUUCUCAUUGCUGGAGAGUUCAUCUUUACAUGAUCCUUCCUUACACCGUGUUGCAUCUGUUUCCUGCUCUCUCCGUGUAUGGUCCCCACAGAAGAUGGCCAUUCCCUGUUCUUCAUGGCUUUUCGGAGAUUUGAAGGUAGCUACUGGGUCACUUCCUCUAAGAAAGAACAUCAUGGGGGUUAGCAGGAGGAAAAUCCAGUCCUUUCAGACCUCAGGGAGGGUUUGCCCUGCUACAGAGAAACUGCUUUUCUAUCCUUCUCUAUGGGCCUGUGCACGGGCCCAGGGCAACAAUAUGGUGAGUCUCUAGGCUCUUUGGACUACAGACACAUAGCAAGCACAUAGCCUUGCUAGGUGGGAGAACCUCAGCCUACUGUCUUCGUCCCAGGGGAGUGUUUCUGGGUCCCGGGAACCUGGCGAUAAGGACAUGGUGUCCUAGAGAGAGACAGCUCUGUACUCAGAAUUUGACCACAAGGCCCCCAUCUUGGUUCCACCCCUUCCUGGUUGGGAUCCUAUAAGCAGGUUGCCUAAAUUCUGAGCUUUAGUUUUGCCCUUUGUAAAAUGGGAAAAUAUCUCAUUGUGUUGCUAUGAGGAUCAAAUGACAUCAUAUAUAGGAAGAUGCUUUGUCAACCAAAACAUACUCUACAAAUGAUUAGCCAAUUCAAGUGGUUAGUAAAAGGGCUUGCAGAGCUUAGAGCUUCUUUGGUCUGGGCCUUCCUAGCGGAUGAGUGUCUGGAGCACAGCUGGUUUUAAGAAGGCUUCUGACUCCUUCUCAAACCCCAUGGCUGGUCUGUGGCACCUGGAGGGGCUCUCUACUGAGGGUUCAUGGCCCCCAUCCUGUAUGACUCCUGCAGAGCCGCUGUGCCCACAUCUCCAGAGAGGACUCCGGCCCAAGUACCUUAGCCCAGGCUUUGGAGACCUGGAAAGAGUGGUUUCUCCAUCCUGAAACACCCUAAUAAAGUCCUUACAUGUAAUGCAUCACUCUUGUCUUGAGCAAUCUGAAGGACAUCACGGUGGAUCCCAAGCAACAUGUUGAUAUCCUCACGGAGCCAAGCUCGGGGGUGAGCCCUGUUCCCCACACAGGAGUGAUCGUCUGGCAGCAGAGGCUCAGGGUGAGGACGCCAUCUUGCCCUGGUUGCAAAGGACAUUGAGGUGAGGCUGCCUCAGCCUUCACUGUCCUGGCCUUUCUUUCCACGCCAUCCGUGCCCCGACUCCACCCGUAUUAGGUAAUAUUAUCCACGUUACACAAAUGAGGAAACUGAGGCUUCAGAGGUUUACAACUUGGGCUCCAUCACCCGACUAGUGAGCGAGGGAGGCAAACUUCGAAUCCAGAUCCGACAGCUAGCUCCAUGCUCUCCACUGGAUCAUCCUGCCACGGAAAGUCUACACCAGCCUGGGGAUUACAGCCUAGAACACCUCAUCUGGGCUGCUAACCUCAGAUAGAGAUCAAAGAGACAUUGUCAUGGGAGAAUGGCUUUUUGAGAUCAGAGCCUCUUACCAGCUGAAUUGUAUUUCACCCCCCUUCCCCAAAUUCAUAUGUUGAAGUCCUAAUGUGACUGAAUUUGGAGACAGGGUCUUUAAAGAGCUAAUUAAGUUAAAAGGAGGUCAUCUGGGCCCUAAUCCCAUGUGACUGGUAUCCUUAUAAGAAGAGAUCAGCACACAGCCACAGGGAAGGCCAUGUGAAGACACAGAGAGAAGGCAGCCAUCGGGAAAACCAAGGGGAGAGCCUUCAAAACUCCUGAAGACACCUUGAUCUUGGACAUCUCUCCCCAGAACUGUGAGAAAAUAAAUAUCUGUGUUUAAGCCAUCCGGUCGGUUAUGGCAGCCCUUCAAAUUAACUCAGAGCCCCUUUUAAAAAAUCAUCUUUGUGGGGCGCCUGGGUGGCUCAGUCGGUUAAGCGUCCAACUUCAGCUUGGGUCAUGAACUCGCGG